AUUGAACGCUAGCGGGAUGCUUUACACAUGCAAGUCGAACGGCAGCGCGGACUUCGGUCUGGCGGCCAGUGGCGAACGGGUGAGUAAUGUAUCGGAACGUGCCCAGUAGCGGGGGAUAACUACGCGAAAGCGUAGCUAAUACCGCAUACGCCCUACGGGGGAAAGGUGGGGAUCGCAAGACCUCUCACUAUUGGAGCGGCCGAUAUCGGAUUAGCUAGUUGGUGAGGUAAAGGCUCACCAAGGCGACGAUCCGUAGCGGGUUUGAGAGGACGACCAGCCACACUUGGACUGAGACACGGCCCAGACUCCUACGGGAGGCAGCAGUGGGGAAUUUUGGACAAUGGGGGCAACCCUGAUCCAGCCAUCCCGCGUGUGCGAUGAAGGCCUUCGGGUUGUAAAGCACUUUUGGCAGGGAAGAAAAGUUUCGGGCUAAUACCCUGGAGCGAUGACGGUACCUGCAGAAUAAGCACCGGCUAACUACGUGCCAGCCGCCGCGGUAA
Molecule: ribosomal RNA, 500 nt
Filed under: uncultured bacterium
Lineage: Bacteria
Description: partial 16S ribosomal RNA
Rfam family: Bacterial small subunit ribosomal RNA
Source: RNAcentral